CCCUUAGAUGUUCUGGGCUGCACGCGCGCUACACUGACAUGUCCAGCGAGCUCCCAACCUGCUCGGCAAAGAAUGGGUACCCUUUUUAACGCAUGUCGUGAUGGGGAUAGAUUAUUGCAAUUGUUGAUCUUGAACGAGGAAUUCCUAGUAAGUGCAAGUCAUUAGCUUGUGCUGAAUACGUCCCUGCCCUUUGUACACACCGCCCGUCGCUCCUACCGAUUGAGUGCUCCGGUGAACAAUUUGGACUGCUUUGAUUCGGUUAGAAUUUGAAGCGGAAAGUUUAGUGAACCUUAUCACUUAGAGGAAGGAGAAGUCGUAACA
RNAcentral lists this ribosomal RNA (321 nucleotides) under uncultured eukaryote. Its description in RNAcentral is "partial 18S ribosomal RNA". It matches the Rfam family "Eukaryotic small subunit ribosomal RNA", at positions 1470 to 1796 of the family's 1831-position model. The record is from RNAcentral.